This is a non-coding RNA of Ceratotherium simum simum (southern white rhinoceros), 354 nucleotides long. NCBI's taxonomy places the organism in Eukaryota, Metazoa, Chordata, Mammalia, Perissodactyla, Rhinocerotidae. The record is from RefSeq and is a predicted model, not a curated record.
CUGGUCAACAGUUGUCAAAUCAGAACCCACUAACUCAACCACAUGUAGAUUCAUUAAUUUAACCAAGGGAUUCUGGAGAACUGCCUGAUAACCACCCUUAAUACCGCACCGGGAUCAUUUGGAAACAACAAUGCAAGCAAAUUAGCCCAAGAGGUUCAGCUAGGGUAAAAGAAAUCAGAAAAGAUGGAUGCAUGAAAAUGAAAAUAGCAGCCACAAUUGAGAGCACUCACUGGCUUAGGUCAAACAGACCUCAAUUUAAUCUGAGCGCUCCCUUUACCAACUGUGUGACAUUCAACAAUUGGCUUAACCUUCAUGAGCCUGAAUUUUCUCAUCUGCCAAGUGACGUGAAGGCAA